This 262-nucleotide unclassified non-coding RNA is filed under the name Hevea brasiliensis (rubber tree). The record is from RNAcentral. Lineage: Eukaryota; Viridiplantae; Streptophyta; Magnoliopsida; Malpighiales; Euphorbiaceae.
GAAUAUUCUAAAGAAUGCUAAUGUGACAUUAAUUGACGGGCGUGGAAAGGUGAUAUGAUUCAUUGAGUCUGUAUUAUGAGUAAAUAUAAAUUGCUGCAACAUGCGUUCUUACCUCCAUGGUUUUAUAAUUCUAUCAUUCAUGCUCAUGGAAUAUAUGCAGACUGUGGUCCCACACACAGUUGAUAUUGAUGGAAAACUCUAUUCAGUGAGACACAUGCUAAUUUCAGUUGGAGGGCAACCCUUCAUUCCUGAAAUUCCUGGA